CCUACGGGCGGCUGCAGUGAGGAAUAUUGGUCAAUGGACGAAAGUCUGAACCAGCCAAGUAGCGUGAAGGAAGACUGCCCUAUGGGUUGUAAACUUCUUUUAUAAGGGAAUAAAACGACGCACGUGUGACUGUUUGCAGGUACUGAAUGAAUAAGGACCGGCUAAAUCCGUGCCAGCAGCCGCGGUAAUACGGAGGGAACGAGCGUUAUCCGGAUGUAUUGGGUUUAAAGGGGGCGUAGGUGGGUUUUUAAGUUAGAUGUGAAAGUUUGAGGCUUAACCUUAAGAUUGCAAUUGAAACUGGCAAACUAGAGUGCAGGUGAGGUAGGCGGAAUUCGUGGUGUAGCGGUGAAAUGCUUAGAUAUCACGAAGAACCCCGAUUGCGAAGGCAGCUUACUGGACUGUGACUGACGUUGAUGCUCGAGAGCGUGGGUAUCAAACAGGAUUAGAUACCCCUGUAGUC
This 460-nucleotide ribosomal RNA is filed under the name uncultured bacterium. Its description in RNAcentral is "partial 16S ribosomal RNA". It matches the Rfam family "Bacterial small subunit ribosomal RNA", at positions 338 to 795 of the family's 1533-position model. The record is from RNAcentral.